GCAUCUCUGAUUAUGCCUGCUCUUCAGUUGCAUCAUCCCUGUCCUCUGAAGCCCUCGUCACGCUGCUGACUUGCAAGGAGCCGAGUAGCGUGAUCAGCAGCGCAGAGACGUGGAAGCUUUUCAUCCAGAAAGUCGCGGGAGUUCUGGAGGCUGCUCUGUCAGCGUACUCCAACAGCAACCUCAGUGACCAUCAGCCUGAGUCCCGUAUUCUCGAUGCCAUUGCAGAGGUGAAAGUCAACAACUUCAGCGCCAUUCUCGAUGCCAUUGGAGAGGUGAAAGUCAACAACUUCAAUGCCACACAACUUACAGAUGUCAGCUUCAUUACCGACUGGUUCCAGGGAAGGCUGAGACCAUUCUUGCCAGCAGUCUCCAGUGAUUUCCUGUUCUGCCUUAGCUCCAAGAACUUUAGUUGCGACACCUACCAAGUUGUGGUGCAGGCUCUCAGUCGUCAAGCGUCCCUCAUGGAGGUGGGACAACAACGGGUCGUCUUCACUGAUUUUGUCCAUCCCUUCCUCUCGAGAGAUGACCUACCAGAUCCUGCCUGUCUUGCCAAUAUUACGAGCAGCGCUGACUGGCUGGAGAAGAACUUUGGCAACUUCUCCGUCUACGCUACCUUGGAGGAUUUGCAAACGCUGAAUGAAAAUUUCUCCAGCUUUGCAUCGUUGGAGGUUCUGAGCCCUAGCCAAGUAGCUGAACUGACACUGAGCUCCGGAGCGUUGAACAACACCAAUCAGAUCGACGCUGUGUUCGACCGCCUGGAGAAUGGCAACGCUUUUAAGAAUGUGGAGGAGUUUCUGACGGCUCUAACCGCAUCUCCUGAGGCAAGUCAAUGAGUCAAAGUGUCUGACAGAGGCCGCGUGUGGAAGCCAUGAAGAGUAGCCCGAAGAACGCUACUUUCACGCAGUGCCAUUCACACUCCCGGUGUUUUGUCCCCGCAGAUUCCCGAUAUCACCCCGGCUGUGAGAGACGUGAUGAUGAACCGAACCUUCGUAAUCAUUGAACUGAAGUUCCAGGAAUUUGUGGCUCAUGACUGGGAAGUGUGGUUCACCGAGAAGCUCAUCCCUGUCCUCCCCAGUUUCACCGCAGAAAUGCUGCUUAAGGUCACAGCUGACAUCAACUGCACCAACUACCAUAUGAUGUGAGUGAUUCUAUAUAUUAUUUCUUUAAAUGUUUUGAUUU
RNAcentral lists this long non-coding RNA (1179 nucleotides) under Sinocyclocheilus anshuiensis. RNAcentral describes it as "lncRNA (ENSSANG00000032434.1)". Lineage: Eukaryota; Metazoa; Chordata; Actinopteri; Cypriniformes; Cyprinidae. The record is from RNAcentral.